Long non-coding RNA from Leopardus geoffroyi (Geoffroy's cat), 510 nucleotides. RefSeq lists it as uncharacterized. The record is from RefSeq and is a predicted model, not a curated record. The transcript has 2 exons. NCBI's taxonomy places the organism in Eukaryota, Metazoa, Chordata, Mammalia, Carnivora, Felidae.
UACAGUUGCUUGUUCAAGAUCUACCCAGUGUCAGAGGAAGAGGGGUUAAUUCUCAUUCAGAGGAACGCAGACAAAAGCCAGCAAACUUUAUUGGACUUUUCCCAACUUGCCUCCUCAUUCUAGGUAAAGAAGUAACUUCUUUAUAUGUAUGUUCUGUAAAAGAUCCUCAAAGUAACCACUAACCAGAGGAAACAAGCCUGGGAUGGACACCCUUGUUACCUGCUAUUUGCAAGAGUAAAGCUACAAAAAAGUAACAGAAUGAAAAAGAAGAGCAAGAACUGUGGCUCUAGAUAAAGAAUUCAACAAGUCAGACUCUGAAACAGGCACUCCGAUGAAAUGGCCUAAACCUAACCCCAGGUUACCAUUGCCCCCACCCCCACCCUGUUAUUCCCAAAAUAGUAAAAAGGAAACGGUCACAAGCUCACAAUUGUUUGGUUCUCACCAAUGUUAACAAAGAAAAACAAAAUAAACCAAGGAAUACUUGAGGGGGUGCCUCAAGAUAUUCAAUCA